Molecule: ribosomal RNA, 274 nt
Filed under: uncultured bacterium
Lineage: Bacteria
Description: partial 16S ribosomal RNA
Rfam family: Bacterial small subunit ribosomal RNA
Source: RNAcentral
AUACGGAGGGUGCAAGCGUUAAUCGGAAUUACUGGGCGUAAAGCGUACGUAGGCGGUUAGUUAAGUUAGAUGUGAAAGCCCCGGGCUUAACCUGGGAACUGCAUUUAAAACUGGCUAACUAGAGUUAAGUAGAGGGGAGUGGAAUUUCAGGUGUAGCGGUGAAAUGCGUAGAGAUCUGAAGGAACACCAGUGGCGAAGGCGACCCCCUGGACUUGAACUGACGCUGAGGUACGAAAGCGUGGGUAGCAAACGGGAUUAGAUACCCUAGUAGUCC